CAAAGGUAGCAUAAUCAUUAGUUCUUUAAUUGUGAACUGGAAUGAAGGGUUGGACAAAGGAAGAGCUGUCUUAGAUCUAAUAAUCGAAAUUUACUUUUAAGUGAAAAGGCUUAAAUGGUUUAGAGGGACGAUAAGACCCUAUAAAGCUUUAUAUAUUACUUUAAUUUGAUUAACUUAUUAAAUAAAAAUUAAAUUUGAUUGUUAUAUUUUGUUGGGGAGAUGAGAGUAUAAAUAUGUGUAACUGCUUAAAUAAAAUACAAUGCUAGGAGAAUUAUUUGUAGAUGAUCCUUAUUAAAGAUUAUAAGAUCAAGUUACUUUAGGGAUAACAGCGUAAUUCCUUUUGAGAGUUCUUAUCGACAAAGGAGUUUGCGACCUCGAUGUUGAAUUAAAAUGUCUUUAUGGUGUAGCCGCUAUAAAAGAAGGUCUGUUCGACCUUUAAAUUUUUACAUGAUUUGAGUUCAAACCG
This 466-nucleotide ribosomal RNA is filed under the name Lachnopodus bidentatus. Its description in RNAcentral is "partial 16S ribosomal RNA". It matches the Rfam family "Bacterial large subunit ribosomal RNA", at positions 1951 to 2618 of the family's 2925-position model. The record is from RNAcentral. Lineage: Eukaryota; Metazoa; Arthropoda; Malacostraca; Decapoda; Xanthidae.